This 586-nucleotide ribosomal RNA is filed under the name uncultured bacterium. RNAcentral describes it as "bacterial SSU rRNA". It matches the Rfam family "Bacterial small subunit ribosomal RNA", at positions 924 to 1510 of the family's 1533-position model. The record is from RNAcentral.
CACAAGCGGUGGAGUAUGUGGUUUAAUUCGAUGCAACGCGAAGAACCUUACCAGGGUUUGACAUCCUGCGAAUCUCCUGGAAACGGGAGAGUGCCUUCGGGAACGCAGUGACAGGUGGUGCAUGGCUGUCGUCAGCUCGUGUCGUGAGAUGUUGGGUUAAGUCCCGCAACGAGCGCAACCCACGUCUUUAGUUGCCAGCAUUCAGUUGGGCACUCUAGAGAGACCGCCGGUGAUAAACCGGAGGAAGGUGUGGAUGACGUCAAGUCAUCAUGCCCCUUACAUCCUGGGCUACACACGUACUACAAUGCUACGGACAAAGGGCAGCAAACUCGCGAGAGCUAGCAAAUCCCAUAAACCGUGGCUCAGUUCAGAUCGUAGGCUGCAACUCGCCUACGUGAAGGAGGAAUCGCUAGUAAUCGCAGGUCAGCAUACUGCGGUGAAUACGUUCCCGGGCCUUGUACACACCGCCCGUCACACCAUGGAAGUUGGCCACGCCCGAAGCCGUUACUCCAACCCUUGUGGAGGAGGACGUCGAAGGUGGGGCUGAUGACUGGGGUGAAGUCGUAACAAGGUAACCAAGGGCGAA